This 110-nucleotide small nuclear RNA is filed under the name Sorex araneus (European shrew). Lineage: Eukaryota; Metazoa; Chordata; Mammalia; Eulipotyphla; Soricidae. The record is from RNAcentral.
GUGCUCACUUUGGCAGCACAUAUACUAAAAUUGGAAUGAUACAGAGAAGAUUAGCAGGGCCCCUACAUAAGGAUAACAUGCAAAUUCGCAAAAUCAUGAAACAUACCUUU